This 254-nucleotide ribosomal RNA is filed under the name uncultured bacterium. Its description in RNAcentral is "partial 16S ribosomal RNA". It matches the Rfam family "Bacterial small subunit ribosomal RNA", at positions 524 to 776 of the family's 1533-position model. The record is from RNAcentral.
UACGUAGGGUGCGAGCGUUUAAUCGGAAUUACUGGGCGUAAAGCGUGCGCAGGCGGUUUUGUAAGCCAGAUGUGAAAGCCCCGGGCUUAACCUGGGAAUGGCAUUUGGGACUGCAAGGCUUGAGUGCGGCAGAGGAGACUGGAAUUCCUGGUGUAGCAGUGAAAUGCGUAGAUAUCAGGAGGAAUACCGAUGGCGAAGGCAGGUCUCUGGGCUGACACUGACGCUCAUGCACGAAAGCGUGGGGAGCAAACAGG